GACGAACCGAGCGAACGUUGUUCGGAAUCACUGGGCUUAAAGGGCGCGUAGGCGGGCUGCCGCGUCCGGGGUGAAAUCCUCCGGCUCAACCGGGGAACGGCCUCGGAUACGGGCGGUCUCGAGGGGGGUAGGGGCAUCUGGAACUGUGGGUGGAGCGGUGAAAUGCGUUGAUAUCCACAGGAACUCCGGUGGCGAAGGCGAGGUGCUGGACCGAUUCUGACGCUGAGGCGCGAAAGCCAGGGGAGCAAACGGG
Molecule: ribosomal RNA, 253 nt
Filed under: uncultured bacterium
Lineage: Bacteria
Description: partial 16S ribosomal RNA
Rfam family: Bacterial small subunit ribosomal RNA
Source: RNAcentral